RNAcentral lists this ribosomal RNA (450 nucleotides) under uncultured bacterium. RNAcentral describes it as "partial 16S ribosomal RNA". It matches the Rfam family "Bacterial small subunit ribosomal RNA", at positions 354 to 796 of the family's 1533-position model. The record is from RNAcentral.
GUAGGGAAUCUUCCACAAUGGACGAAAGUCUGAUGGAGCAACGCCGCGUGAGUGAAGAAGGCCUUCGGGUCGUAAAGCUCUGUCAUCAGGGACGAAUGGCCGGUGGAGUGGAAAGCCACCGGAUUGACGGUACCUGAGAAGGAAGCCACGGCUAACUACGUGCCAGCAGCCGCGGUAAUACGUAGGUGGCAAGCGUUGUCCGGAAUUAUUGGGCGUAAAGCGCGCGCAGGUGGGAUCUUAAGUCCAUUUUGAAAGUUCGGAGCUCAACUCCGUGAUGGGAUGGAAACUGGGAUUCUUGAGUACCGGAGAGGAAAGCGGAAUUCCCCGUGUAGCGGUGAAAUGCGUAGAUAUGGGGAGGAACACCAGUGGCGAAGGCGGCUUUCUGGACGGUGUCUGACACUGAGGCGCGAAAGCCAGGGGAGCGAACGGGAUUAGAAACCCCGGUAGUCC